This 207-nucleotide ribosomal RNA is filed under the name uncultured bacterium. RNAcentral describes it as "partial 16S ribosomal RNA". It matches the Rfam family "Bacterial small subunit ribosomal RNA", at positions 1294 to 1500 of the family's 1533-position model. The record is from RNAcentral.
CAGAUUGCAGGCUGCAACUCGCCUGCAUGAAGUCGGAAUUGCUAGUAAUCGUAGGUCAGCAUACUACGGUGAAUACGUUCCCGGGCCUUGUACACACCGCCCGUCAAACCAUGAGAGUUGGCAACACCCGAAGUCGGUAGUCUAACCGCAAGGAGGACGCCGCCGAAGGUGGGGUUGAUGAUUAGGGUUAAGUCGUAACAAGGUAAC